AGUGAACGCUGGCGGUAGGCCUAACACAUGCAAGUCGAACGGCAGCACAGUAAGAGCUUGCUCUUACGGGUGGCGAGUGGCGGACGGGUGAGGAAUACAUCGGAAUCUACUUUUUCGUGGGGGAUAACGUAGGGAAACUUACGCUAAUACCGCAUACGACCUACGUGUGAAAGCAGGGGAUCUUCUGACCUUGCGCGAUUGAAUGAGCCGAUGUCGGAUUAGCUAGUUGGCGGGGUAAAGGCCCACCAAGGCGACGAUCCGUAGCUGGUCUGAGAGGAUGAUCAGCCACACUGGAACUGAGACACGGUCCAGACUCCUACGGGAGGCAGCAGUGGGGAAUAUUGGACAAUGGGCGCAAGCCUGAUCCAGCCAUACCGCGUGGGUGAAGAAGGCCUUCGGGUUGUAAAGCCCUUUUGUUGGGAAAGAAAAGCAGCAGGUUAAUACCCCGCUGUUCUGACGGUACCCAAAGAAUAAGCACCGGCUAACUUCGUG
RNAcentral lists this ribosomal RNA (492 nucleotides) under uncultured bacterium. RNAcentral describes it as "partial 16S ribosomal RNA". It matches the Rfam family "Bacterial small subunit ribosomal RNA", at positions 29 to 507 of the family's 1533-position model. The record is from RNAcentral.